Molecule: long non-coding RNA, 761 nt
Organism: Dreissena polymorpha
Lineage: Eukaryota; Metazoa; Mollusca; Bivalvia; Myida; Dreissenidae
Exons: 2
Source: RefSeq, a predicted model, not a curated record
GUGAUAUGUUACGUGUUCUGCACCGCAUUGAUGAGGAUGCUCAAUUUAAUAGAUUCUUCUAACUUAUGAUUAAAUUGGAGCUACAUCGGUAUUUGAGUAUUUACAACAACGAAGAAAAAUUAACAUGGACCGUAUAGCGCUACUGUGCCUCUUGCUUGCCUUCCUGAUGUCGGUUGUCAGCGUCUCUGAAGGUUCCAUGUGGAAAUGCUGCGGCAACUGUCGGCGGCUGGCUCAGCAGUGCAUCAGGUUCGGUAAAAAUAGCUGUCGGUGUCGGGGUAAGAUGGCGAUCAUUGCAAAAAGCGCAUAUCCGGUGCACGGCAACGGAGAUAUCUUUGAGCGACAAAAGAGUAAGCUCUCAAUGUCCGACCGUGUGUUAUUGGACGAAAAAUUAUGAUUCAUCUUAGUCCCCGUGGCUUUAUUCUGAGACGGAACAUGCAUUCUACCAAUCAAGAUAAUACAGUUUCCGGAGACACACUAUUGAUCAGUGGGAAGACAAAACAACAACAACAACAAUACAAUAACAACAAAAACAAUAGAAUAAUGAACACUUUUAAUACUUGUAAAUGCGUAUAGUCUUUAUUUAUUGUAUAUAUUAUAUAAAAAGUUCAUAUCCUUUACUAUAUCUUUGUUAAUUAACAGUCUUAUGUGUUUAAGGCAUCACACAUAUUUCAUGUUUAAUAGAAUUACUUUUUCAAUGAUACACAUGAAAUUUCUUUUCAAUGCAUUAAUAUGAGAUUCAAUAAUAAAUAAACAGCUGGCGA